UGCAGCAAAACUGCACCUUAGGGCUAGAGAUUUGCCACUGAAGUGUGUGUCGAUACAGUGGGUGGAGACGGUCACCUAUCUGGCAGAAGGAUUUAUUUGCGCAGGCAGGUUAAUCCAGGUAUCAGUCUUCAUGGAUACCAGGUGGCUCCGAAUAAGAAUGCACCUUCAUUUGCAUAUUUAAAUUAAGGGAAUAAAGCGCAGAGUACAAUGUGAACCACCGGGGAGAAUUUAAAGACAGUGAAUAUAGAUUGUAUGCCAUUGAUGAGGAACAUUUUUGCAAACACCGUAAACCAGUAAAUAACCUCUCAAGGGCAUCUGCAUGUGCACACAAAUCGACAAACUUAACACACACAUACUGAGAUGGGGUCAAAAGCUGGUUUUAGGACCGAAGAGUCGGCUGUGUUGGUCUGUCUCCCUACAUCGUCCAUUAGCUUCAUGCUGGGUUCUAAUCCUAAUUGACAUGGAAAAAGCUCAGAGGAUGUGUAGUCACACAAAACAGGUCGCACAAAUAAAUGGCUA
Non-coding RNA from Misgurnus anguillicaudatus (oriental weatherfish), 519 nucleotides. The record is from RefSeq and is a predicted model, not a curated record. Lineage: Eukaryota; Metazoa; Chordata; Actinopteri; Cypriniformes; Cobitidae.